UUCUGACGUCCAGUUCUGACUACUAGUUCUGACUCCCAGGUCCAGUUCUCUGUUCUGACUCCCAGUUCUGACUCUUAGGCCCGGUUCUCUGUUCUGACUCCUAGUUCUGACUCUCAGGCCCGGUUCUCUGGCCCGGUUCUCUGUUCUGACUCCCAGUUCUGACUCCCAGUUCUGACUACCAGGUCCAGUUCUCUGUUCUGACUCCCAGUUCUGACUCCCAGUUCUGACUACCAGGUCCAGUUCUCUGUUCUGACUCCCAGUUCUGACUCUUAGGCCCGGUUCUCUGUUCUGACUCCCAGUUCUGACUCUCAGGCCCGGUUCUCUGGCCCGGUUCUCUGUUCUGACUCCCAGUUCUGACUACCAGGUCCAGUUCUCUGUUCUGACUCCCAGUUCUGACUCCCAGUUCUGACUACCAGGUCCAGUUCUCUGUUCUGACUCCCAGUUCUGACGUCCAGUUCUGACUCCCAGGUCCAGUUCUCUGUUCUGACUCCCAGGUCCGGUUCUAUGUUCUGACUCCCAGUUCUGACGUCCAGUUCUGACUCCCAGGUCCAGUUCUCUGUUCUGACUCCCAGUUCUGACGUCCAGUUCUGACUCCCAGGCCCGGUUCUCUGUUCUGACUCCCAGUUCUGACGUCCAGUUCUGACUCCCAGGUCCAGUUCUCUGUUCUGACUCCCAGUUCUGACGUCCAGUUCUGACUCCCAGGUCCAGUUCUCUGUUCUGACUCCCAGUUCUGACUUCCAGGCCCGGUUCUCUGUUCUGACUCCUAGUUCUAGUUCUCUGUACUGACUCCCAGUUCUGACUCCCAGUUCUGACUACCAGGUCCAGUUCUCUGUUCUGACUCCCAGUUCUGACGUCCAGUUCUGACUCCCAGGUCCAGUUCUCUGUUCUGACUCCCAGGUCCGGUUCUAUGUUCUGACUCCCAGUUCUGACGUCCAGUUCUGACUCCCAGGUCCAGUUCUCUGUUCUGACUCCCAGUUCUGACGUCCAGUUCUGACUCCCAGGCCCGGUUCUCUGUUCUGACUCCCAGUUCUGACGUCCAGUUCUGACUCCCAGGUCCAGUUCUCUGUUCUGACUCCCAGUUCUGACGUCCAGUUCUGACUCCCAGGUCCAGUUCUCUGUUCUGACUCCCAGUUCUGACGUCCAGUUCUGACUCCCAGGUCCAGUUCUCUGUUCUGACUCCCAGUUCUGACUCCCAGGCCCGGUUCUCUGUUCUGACUCCCUGUUCUGACUCUCAGUUCUGACUCCCAGGCCCGGUUCUCUGUUCUGACUCCCUGUUCUGACUCUCAGUUCUGACUCUCAGGUCCAGUUCUCUGUUCUGACUCCCAGUUCUGACUCUCUGUUCUGACUCCCAGGUCCAGUUCUCUGUUCUGACUCCCAGUUCUGACUCCCAGGCCCGGUUCUCUGUUCUGACUCCCAGUUCUGACGUCCAGUUCUGACUCCCAGGUCC
This is a long non-coding RNA of Fundulus heteroclitus (mummichog), 1447 nucleotides long. RefSeq lists it as uncharacterized. The record is from RefSeq and is a predicted model, not a curated record. The transcript has 4 exons. Lineage: Eukaryota; Metazoa; Chordata; Actinopteri; Cyprinodontiformes; Fundulidae.